AUUGAACGCUGGCGACAUGCCUUACACAUGCAAGUCGAACGGCAGCACGGGUGCUUGCACCUGGUGGCGAGUGGCGAACGGGUGAGUAAUACAUCGGAACAUGUCCUGUAGUGGGGGAUAGCCCGGCGAAAGCCGGAUUAAUACCGCAUACGAUCUACGGAUGAAAGCGGGGGACCUUCGGGCCUCGCGCUAUAGGGUUGGCCGAUGGCUGAUUAGCUAGUUGGUGGGGUAAAGGCCUACCAAGGCGACGAUCAGUAGCUGGUCUGAGAGGACGACCAGUCACACUGGGACUGAGACACGGCCCAGACUACUACGGGAGGCAGCAGUGGGGAAUUUUGGACAAUGGGCGAAAGCCUGAUCCAGCAAUGCCGCGUGUGUGAAGAAGGCCUUCGGGUUGUAAAGCACUUUUGUCCGGAAAGAAAUCCUUGGCCCUAAUACGGUCGGGGGAUGACGGUACCGGAAGAAUAAGCACCGGCUAACUACGUG
This 486-nucleotide ribosomal RNA is filed under the name uncultured bacterium. RNAcentral describes it as "partial 16S ribosomal RNA". It matches the Rfam family "Bacterial small subunit ribosomal RNA", at positions 30 to 507 of the family's 1533-position model. The record is from RNAcentral.